GANNACCGGUCCACACAACGUGUGCGCAUCUGGCUCGGCCUCGGCAUCCUCUCGAUAGACGUUUCUGCGCUUGAUUGCGUGGANCGGAUCUCGGGACUUUUACUUUGAGGAAAUUAGAGUGUUCACGGCAGGCUAUCGCCANAAUACAUUANCAUGGAAUAAUACUAUAGGAUCUUGNUUCUAUUUUGUUGGUUUCUANAANUGANAUAANGAUUAAUANGGACAGUUGGGGGCAUUCNUAUCAACACGUCANAAGUGGAAUUCUUGGAUUGUGUUGCGACNAACUACUGCGAAAGCAUUUGCCAAGGAUGUUUUCAUUGAUCAAGAACGAAAGUAAGGGGAUCGAAGACGAUUAGAUACCGUCGUAGUCUUUACCAUAAACUAUGCCAACUAGAGAUGGGGCAUCGUUCACUUACGACUUGCUCCGCACCUUAUGAGAUAUCAAAGUCUUUGGGUUCCGGGGGGAGUAUGGUCGCAAGGCUGAAACUUAAAGGAAUUGACGGAAGGGCACCACCAGGAGUGGAGCCUGCGGCUUAAUUUGACUCAACACGGGGAAACUCACCAGGUCCAGACAUAAUAAGGAUUGACAGAUUGAUAGCUCUUUCUUGAUUCUAUGGGUGGUGGUGCAUGGCCGUUCUUAAUUGGUGGAGUGAUUUGUCUGCUUAAUUGCGUUAACGAACGANACCUCAACCUGCUAAAUANACCANCCUAUCCUCGGAUAAGCUGCUGUCUUCUUANAGGGACUUUGCCCGCUUCAGGGUANGGAAGUUUGAGUCUAAAACAGGUCUGUAAUACCCUUAGAUGUUCUGGGCUGCACGCGCGCUGCACUGAUGCGUUCAACGAGUGUAAAACCUUGCCAGGCAUGGUUGGGUAAUCUUUUGAACACGCAUCGUGAUGGGGAUAGAUUAUUGCAAUUAUUAAUCUUCNANGAGGAAA
This 936-nucleotide ribosomal RNA is filed under the name uncultured dinoflagellate. RNAcentral describes it as "partial 18S ribosomal RNA". It matches the Rfam family "Eukaryotic small subunit ribosomal RNA", at positions 653 to 1611 of the family's 1831-position model. The record is from RNAcentral. Lineage: Eukaryota; Dinophyceae.